RNAcentral lists this small RNA (759 nucleotides) under Pan troglodytes (chimpanzee). RNAcentral's name for it is "retained intron". The record is from RNAcentral. Lineage: Eukaryota; Metazoa; Chordata; Mammalia; Primates; Hominidae.
CUGGGCAGCAGUGGUGAUGGCUGUGCUGUCCGUCGGCGAGUGGUCUGAGAGUGUCUUUGUGCUUCCUCCUCAGGUGUCGAUUGACUGCCCGUGGUCCAUCUACUCCACGGUCAUCGCACUGACCUUCAGCGUACCCUUCAGGACCACACACACCCUCCUGUCCUCAGGAACACGGAAAUAUGUUCAAGUUUGUGUCCAGAAUUUGUCAGAACUUGACUUUCAGCUGUCAGAUAGUUAUCUUGUAGAUACCGGUGAUAGUACCGACCUGCAACUAGUACCACUGAACACGCAGUCCCAGCAGCCCAUCUACAGCAAGCAGUCGGUGUUCUUCGUCUGGGAACUCAAGUGGACAGAAGAGCCUCCCCCUUCUCUGCAUUGCCGGUUCUCUGUUGGAUUUUCCCCAGCUUCUGAGGAACAGCUGUCUAUCUCCUUAAAGCCGUAUACUUAUGAAUUUAAAGUGGAAAAUUUUUUUGGUGGCCCUGGCCCCCUUGUCAGAUUCCAGCUGGCCAUCAGUGCUCGCGUGUCUCUCUGAAGAGGCUCCGCGGUUCUGGUCCCUGUGCCUGAGCUCCAGGUGCCGCCAGACAUUAUACAACGUGAAGGCUGAGAUCUUUCCCCCUUCGGGAAUGGAGUAUUGCAGAACAGGCUCCCUCUGCUCCCUGGAGGUUUUGAUCACGAGGCUCUCAGACCUCUUGGAGGUGGAUAAAGAUGAAGCACUGACUGAAUCUGAUGAGCAUUUUUCGACAAAGCUUAUGUAUGAAG